RNAcentral lists this ribosomal RNA (746 nucleotides) under Ornithobacterium rhinotracheale. RNAcentral describes it as "bacterial SSU rRNA". It matches the Rfam family "Bacterial small subunit ribosomal RNA", at positions 82 to 827 of the family's 1533-position model. The record is from RNAcentral. Lineage: Bacteria; Pseudomonadati; Bacteroidota; Flavobacteriia; Flavobacteriales; Weeksellaceae.
CGGAUUAAGGAAACCGGCGCACGGGUGCGUAACGCGUAUGCAACUUGCCCUUAUCAGGAGGAUAGCCCGGGGAAACUCGGAUUAAUACUCCAUAAGAUUUUGAUUGGCAUCGAUUAAAAUUGAAAGAUUUAUUGGAUAAGGAUAGGCAUGCGUCAGAUUAGUUAGUUGGUAGUGUAACGGACUACCAAGGCGAUGAUCUGUAGGGGGCCUGAGAGGGUGAACCCCCACACUGGUACUGAGACACGGACCAGACUCCUACGGGAGGCAGCAGUGAGGAAUAUUGGACAAUGGAGGGAACUCUGAUCCAGCCAUCCCGCGUGCAGGAAGACGGCCCUAUGGGUUGUAAACUGCUUUUGUAUGGGGAUAAAUCUACUUACGUGUAGGUAGUUGAAGGUACCAUACGAAUAAGCAUCGGCUAACUCCGUGCCAGCAGCCGCGGUAAUACGGAGGAUGCAAGCGUUAUCCGGAUUCAUUGGGUUUAAAGGGUCCGUAGGCGGGCUGAUAAGUCAGUGGUGAAAUUUUGUCGCUCAACGAUAAAACUGCCAUUGAUACUGUUAGUCUUGAGUGAUAUUGAAGUAGCUGGAAUGUGUAGUGUAGCGGUGAAAUGCAUAGAUAUUACACAGAACACCGAUUGCGAAGGCAGGUUACUAAGUAUUAACUGACGCUGAAGGACGAAAGCGUGGGGAGCGAACAGGAUUAGAUACCCUGGUAGUCCACGCAGUAAACGAUGCUAACUCGUUUUCGGG